This 253-nucleotide ribosomal RNA is filed under the name uncultured bacterium. Its description in RNAcentral is "partial 16S ribosomal RNA". It matches the Rfam family "Bacterial small subunit ribosomal RNA", at positions 524 to 776 of the family's 1533-position model. The record is from RNAcentral.
UACGGGGGGAGCAAGCGUUGUUCGGAUUUACUGGGCGUAAAGGGCGCGUAGGCGGCUUAACAAGUCACUUGUGAAAUCUCCGGGCUUAACUCGGAACGGCCAAGUGAAACUGUCAAGCUAGAGUGCAGAAGGGGCAAUCGGAAUUCUUGGUGUAGCGGUGAAAUGCGUAGAUAUCAAGAGGAACACCUGAGGUGAAGACGGGUUGCUGGGCUGACACUGACGCUGAGGCGCGAAAGCCAGGGGAGCAAACGGG